UACGUAGGUGGCAAGCGUUAUCCGGAAUUAUUGGACGUAAAGAGCGCGCAGGUGGUUAAUUAAGUCUGAUGUGAAAGCCCACGGCUUAACCGUGGAGGGUCAUUGGAAACUGGUUGACUUGAGUGCAGAAGAGGGAAGUGGAAUUCCAUGUGUAGCGGUGAAAUGCGUAGAGAUAUGGAGGAACACCAGUGGCGAAGGCGGCCUGCUGGACGACAACUGACGGUGAGGCGCGAAAGCGUGGGGAGCAAACAGG
Molecule: ribosomal RNA, 253 nt
Filed under: uncultured Turicibacter sp.
Lineage: Bacteria; Bacillati; Bacillota; Erysipelotrichia; Erysipelotrichales; Turicibacteraceae
Description: partial 16S ribosomal RNA
Rfam family: Bacterial small subunit ribosomal RNA
Source: RNAcentral